UUGAGUAUUUCUUAUAUACAUUUCAAGUGUUAUUCCCUUUCCCGGUUUCCGGACAGACAUCACCCUCCCCCCUCCCCUUCCUUGUGGGUGUUCCCCCUCCCAAACCUCCCCCCAUUGCCACCCUCCCCGCAUAGUCUAGUUCACUGGGGGUUCAGUCUUAGCAGGACCCAGGGCUUCCCCUUCCACUGGUGCUCUUACUAGGAUAUUCAUUGCUACCUAUGGGGACAGAGUCCAGGGUCAGUCCAUGUAUAGUCUUUAGGUAGUGGCUUAGUCCCUGGAAGCUCUGGUUGCUUGACAUUGUUGUACUUUUGGGGU
This 315-nucleotide long non-coding RNA is filed under the name Rattus norvegicus (Norway rat). Its description in RNAcentral is "long non-coding RNA NONRATT027567". The record is from RNAcentral. Lineage: Eukaryota; Metazoa; Chordata; Mammalia; Rodentia; Muridae.